Molecule: non-coding RNA, 2014 nt
Organism: Heterocephalus glaber (naked mole-rat)
Lineage: Eukaryota; Metazoa; Chordata; Mammalia; Rodentia; Bathyergidae
Source: RefSeq, a predicted model, not a curated record
UGAAUUGUAAGGGAUAUGGUGAAGUACUGCACAAUUUAAAACAGACUUUUCAUUUGAGACAAAAAAAACAGUCGAGAUCAGUACAGAUGGUCAUAUUCCAUUUUAUAGAUGGGGAAACGAUUCAGAAAAGUUAAAUGACCUCAGUUAUAAAGCCAGUGAAUAGCAGAAUGAAGAUCUGUAUUCAGCUCUACUACACUGAAACUAGAGUGCUUGAUACUGCCAUGCUACACUGAAUUCUUUAAUUUCAGUUGAAAGGCAAAGGCUGCUCUCACAUCUGAUCUUACCACAAUGAACAGGGCAGGCCAAAGUAGGAAAUGGGCAUUACACAUAGCAGCUCCACAGGGAAAAAAGAAAUGCUAAAAUUCCCAACUGAGACUGGCCUUCAGUGCAUCUCUAUCUAUCUCAAUAGACUCAAUGGAGCACUCUGAAUAGUAGGGUCUGAGAAUACAAAUUACUUAAACCCCAGUCCACUUACCCUAUGAUUAUGAAAUCUCCUUUGCUGACAGUGUCAGGUUCAAUGCAGAUGUUCAUAAAGUCUUCUUUGCUCUAAAAAAAAAAAAAAAGACCACCAUUAAUGUCCAUAAUCCUAACGAUUUAGCUAACAUAGCUUAUUCUCAUCCCCAGCCUUGGAGGUUCAUAUUUUGAAGCUGAAUUACAUAAGGGAUUUUACUUCUAGUGACUUAAUCCUAAGUAUAUAUUCUUUUCAUUAAGAGCUUUAAUGUAGUAAAUUAACAAAUUCAUCUCCAUUGCUUUUUAUUUCCCAUUACAUAAGCAAAAUAGAAACUCAAGUGUGGGAGGUUUUCUAAUUUUGUUACUAAUAGUCACUGGUGUUAAAAGUACCCAGGAUUCCCCCCUUUCCCUGCAGGCCAAGCUUCCCUGCCCCUCUGGCCCAGCAAUUUUCAGUCCUGACUGUAGCAGUGUCACACCAGACCACAGUACUGAAUGCUUGGUGUGGUGAGCCCAGGUGUCUGUGUUCUCUAAAAUGCCCUACAUGCAAAUUUGGUAUGUAACCAGUUGAAAAGUAGCAAUUCAUUUAUUCCUUGGUGAUGUUUUUAGAACUGAACCAUUUCUAACCACAGAAACUCUGGAAGACUCCAGCUACAAGGAAGUAGCUGUAAAAACAGACAUGGCUUCUGUACCACUCCUCUAUUCACUACCAGUCCACAGUAACAACACAAACCUCGCCUCCACCCAUCAAUCCUAAAACACUUCUGUGUUGGCUACUUUUGGGGGACAUUCAAAAUUUGUAGGCCCAGGAUAACACCUGGGCUGCUGAGUGCCUAAUGCCUUUGCAUGAGAUUCAAAGGUACCACCAAAACACUCUCUCAACUAGGAAUUACAAAGUGUGCUGACAUACAGUGUGAGGACUUUCCUCAGAGUUCACCUUUCAUUUAGCUACUUAAAAGCGCCAGCCAUGUACCAUAAACUCUUUGGGGUGUUUGGGUUACAUCAAUGAACAAAACAAACAUGAAUUUCUGCCUACAGAGAACUUACAUGAAAGGGAUAGAUAAGCCAUAAUAAAACAGGAAACUCCCGAGUAUCCUGGAAGAUGAGUACACCAGAAAUAUGUCAGAGCGCAUUGGAAAGUGAGAUCAAAGAAACAGCAAGGAGCAUGAGGUGGCACCGAUGACAGCGGCUAUACUUUAUAGAUGGAGGCAGGGAAAGCUAAGCAACUUCUCUUGGUGAGCUGCUGAAAUAUGAAAUUACAGAUCAAACACAAGGCUCCUCACAAGUUAUUUGAUGAUAUCCCUGUGGAUAAGGUGAAUGUGGAAACAAUAUGCUGAAUACAAUGAGUAAACCGAGGACGUAAGAAGUAACUCUUGCAGUAUUCCAGAGCUAGAGAGCAGCUGUAAAACAGGAAACAGACCAGGACCCUUGGGGUCUGAAACCAAGGCUGAGUUCUCUAUUGUCUCUCCCACAGGCCAUCACUAAUUACCUUGGGUAUUUUGGUUAUGUUGCUUUAUGACUUAUUUGUUGGUAUUGUUUGGCAUUGGUAUUAAACAGUGAUCCAAUA